This 1350-nucleotide ribosomal RNA is filed under the name uncultured bacterium. RNAcentral's name for it is "bacterial SSU rRNA". It matches the Rfam family "Bacterial small subunit ribosomal RNA", at positions 28 to 1381 of the family's 1533-position model. The record is from RNAcentral.
AUUGAACGCUGGCGGCAGGCUUUAGACAUGCAAGUCGGACGGUAACAUGCUCUUCGGGGUGAUGACGAGUGGCGGACGGGUGAGUAAUGUAUAGGUAGCUACCUAGUAGUGGGGGACAACUUAGGGAAACUUAAGCUAAUACCGCAUGUAACCUUACGAGGGAAAGGAGGCUUUCGGGCUUUCGCUAUUAGAUGUGCCUAUAUUGGAUUAGCUAGUUGGUGGGGUAAAGGCUCACCAAGGCGACGAUCCAUAGCUGGUCUGAGAGGAUGGACAGCCACACUGGGACUGAGACACGGCCCAGACUUCUACGGGAGGCAGCAGUCGGGAAUAUUGGGCAAUGGGGGCAACCCUGACCCAGCCAUGCCGCGUGUGUGAAGAAGGCCUUAGGGUUGUAAAGCACUUUUAGUAAGGAGGAAAGGGUAAUAGUUAAUACCUAUUAUCUGUGACGUUACUUACAGAAACAGCACCGGCAAACUCCGUGCCAGCAGCCGCGGUAAUACGGAGGGUGCAAGCGUUAAUCGGAAUUACUGGGCGUAAAGGGCACGUAGGUGGUUUUUUAAGCUGGAUGUGAAAUCCCCGAGCUUAACUUGGGAAUUGCAACCAGAACUGGAAGGCUAGAGUGCAGUAGAGGAAGGUGGAAUUCCGCGUGUAGCGGUGAAAUGCGUAGAUAUGCGGAGGAACAUCGGUGGCGAAGGCGACCUUCUGGACUGACACUGACACUGAAGAGCGAAAGCGUGGGUAUCGAACAGGAUUAGAUACCCUGGUAGUCCACGCUGUAAACGAUGUCAACUAGUCGUUGGGACGUAAGUCUUAGUGGCGCAGCUAACGCGAUAAGUUGACCGCCUGGGGAGUACGGCCGCAAGGUUAAAACUCAAAUGAAUUGACGGGGGCCCGCACAAGCGGUGGAGCAUGUGGUUUAAUUCGAUGCAACGCGAAGAACCUUACCUACUCUUGACAUCCUAAGAAUUUUGUAGAGAUACGAAAGUGCCUUCGGGAGCUUAGAGACAGGUGCUGCAUGGCUGUCGUCAGCUCGUGUUGUGAAAUGUUGGGUUAAGUCCCGUAACGAGCGCAACCCUUAUACUUAUUUGCCAUCAUUAAGUUGGGAACUUUAAGUAGACUGCCGGUGACAAACCGGAGGAAGGUGGGGACGACGUCAAGUCAUCAUGGCCCUUACGAGUAGGGCUACACACGUGCUACAAUGGCUGGUACAGAGGGAAGCGAAGUCGCGAGAUGGAGCAAAACUCACAAAGCCGGUCUUAGUACGGAUUGCAGUCUGCAACUCGACUGCAUGAAGUCGGAAUCGCUAGUAAUCGCAAAUCAGAAUGUUGCGGUGAAUACGUUCCCGGGCCU